Molecule: transfer RNA, 72 nt
Filed under: Chelonia mydas (Green sea turtle)
Lineage: Eukaryota; Metazoa; Chordata; Testudines; Cheloniidae
Rfam family: tRNA
About the family: Transfer RNA (tRNA) molecules are approximately 80 nucleotides in length. Their secondary structure includes four short double-helical elements and three loops (D, anti-codon, and T loops).
Source: Rfam by way of RNAcentral
GGUAGGGUGACCUAGUGGCUAGGGCACUGGACCCGAAUUCAGGAUGCCUGGGUUCUGUUCCCGGCUCUGCCA